AUAUGACUGUGUAUUAUCACGACCUUUGAACAUAUGGUUCCUCUUAUAUUUAUAGUAUUUAUGUAUCUAAUUUAGUUAACUUCUUUGAUGGAAGGGUGUGGCAUAAACGUUAAAUAAAAGUUUUUAAGUCAACUUACCUUGAAGAACGUUUAGAAUUGUAAAAGCUGAUAAAAUCCGUUUAAUAUUUUCCAUAAUUCAAUUUUCAUACAUAUAAACUUCCUUGAUGAAUUUACACAAUAAUUGGUGUCGCUUUUCUUUAAUAACAAAAGACGUUAAGUCGAAUCAAAAAUUUAAAAUCUGCAGAUUAAAUUUUAAACCGACAUUGCACAGGUGAAAUAUAUUGUCAUGUCAAAUUGUACAAGUUUCAAGCAUCGAUAAUGUCUAUAUUGUAUUACUCCAAAAGUGGUAAAUAUUACAAUUUUUGUACAAGGUCAUGCUCUAGUGGCAACAGGUCAC
This 456-nucleotide long non-coding RNA is filed under the name Mytilus galloprovincialis (Mediterranean mussel). The record is from RNAcentral. Lineage: Eukaryota; Metazoa; Mollusca; Bivalvia; Mytilida; Mytilidae.